CUGGUCUAAAUACUUUUCCAGCUAUAUUGAAUAGUCUCUCAACGGGAGCUGAUAUGGCAGGUAUGGCUAAAUGCUUUUUGGCUAAUGUUGAAAGAAGAGAAAAUCUGCUGCUAUUCACUUGCCAAAACAUUAAGGGGUUUUCUGUCAUCUCUACACAGGGCUCAUAAAUAUAGUCAUUCACUUUAUUAACCAAACCAGAAGGAUUUCUCUUUCUGGUGGUAGGGGUUGAUGGCAUAAAACUGAAAAAGUCUUCAGUUUUCACUUUUUUACAAGGUGAACUAUACUCAAAAUCUACUCUCUUUUUCAAAAUAUCAACAUAUUUG
This 323-nucleotide long non-coding RNA is filed under the name Mytilus galloprovincialis (Mediterranean mussel). The record is from RNAcentral. Lineage: Eukaryota; Metazoa; Mollusca; Bivalvia; Mytilida; Mytilidae.